This 253-nucleotide ribosomal RNA is filed under the name uncultured bacterium. RNAcentral describes it as "partial 16S ribosomal RNA". It matches the Rfam family "Bacterial small subunit ribosomal RNA", at positions 524 to 776 of the family's 1533-position model. The record is from RNAcentral.
UACGAAGGGGGCUAGCGUUGUUCGGAAUUACUGGGCGUAAAGCGCAUGUAGGCGGCCCAACAAGUCGAAUGUGAAAUCCCGGAGCUCAACUCCGGAACUGCAUACGAUACUGUUGGGCUCGAGUCUCGGAGAGGAUGGCGGAAUUUCCGGUGUAGAGGUGAAAUUCGUAGAUAUCGGAAGGAACACCAGUGGCGAAGGCGGCCGUCUGGACGAUGACUGACGCUGAGAGGCGAGAGCGUGGGGAGCAAACAGG